This 8096-nucleotide long non-coding RNA is filed under the name Olea europaea (common olive). RNAcentral's name for it is "long non-coding RNA (OEUR_LNC005986)". Lineage: Eukaryota; Viridiplantae; Streptophyta; Magnoliopsida; Lamiales; Oleaceae. The record is from RNAcentral.
GUAAUUUCUUGAUUCUGACUUAUAGUUAUGAAUAUUCAAUGUAUUGUUCUGUGAUUGAAAAUGUUAUACCAUUAUGAUCAGGUUUAACUUAUUAUGUGGGUUAAUUUUGAUGACAUCCUACAAUACCGUUGACUGUGACCUACUUUAAUUUCAUUCGAAAGCUAAGUUUGAGAUUUUUGUGUGGUUAAGAUGCAACUGGUAAUUAGUAAUUAGUCGUGCAUUCUGUGUAUCACUGGAUUAAUAAGGGUGGUUGAAUAACUUUUGAUAUUUUCCAAUGAACAAUACACAUAAUUAAUUAUUGUUCAUCUAAUGACUUUUUCUUAAAUAUCUUUAGAGUCAAGAUGCCUUCUUUAAAUUUUAAACUUACGCUAUUUGUUCAGUGCCUCAAAUUUUUUAGUUUAGAUUUAAAACUCUAAAAGACAUUGUCAAUUUAUGGGGAGAAGUUUGCUGUUGAAAAUUUCAAAAUCAAACAUACCAGACCUGGUAGGAGAACUGCCUAUGCCCCAGAACCUCCCCUUCCCUAAUACCAUCUCACUCCAUGAUUUCAGAUUUCUAAGUUUCACUGUGUGAAAGCAUCCUUUGUGUCAUCUUAUUAUUUUUGCUCAAUUUUCAGGGCUUAGGUCUAUGGCAAAUGAUGGGCAGGACACUAAUGGUUCACAAUUUUUCAUCUGUGACGACCAACUGGUAACUAUACAAUUUAUGAUCCUGCUAUUAUGAGAAAACUGUCAUCCAUCUUCAGAUCUUCUAUCUGGUGCUUCUAUUUAGCCAGAAAAUCUAACAAAAUUUAAAUGUUCAAUAGGUUGGAUGGUCGUCAUGUUGUAUUCAGAAAGGUGCUGUCCGGAAUAGAUGUGGUGUAUAAGAUAGAAGCCAAAUGCAACUAGAGUGGAACAACCAAAAACAAAGUUGUGAUUGCAGACAGUGGUGAACUUCCCCUGUAAUCAGCUUGUACUUGAACUUGUCAGUUUUACCCUUCUACUCACUUCUGCUUACUGCAGAUUAUGGAUCUUAAUUUACAUACCUGAAUUAUGUUAUUUAGGAAAAUGAAAUAGGUACCAGAAAAGUACACUUUUUAGUUUGGCACCUAAUGAAAUAGGUACCAGAAAAGGCACGUAGAAUGUAUAUUAGGAAAGAAGAGAGGAAACAUAUGCGAUUUCUCUUACAUUAUUGACAGAGAUCAUUAGGGAUAAUGUUACCAACCUUUAGAAGGUUCGUUUUACAUUUUUUUGAUCUGUUCAGUGACCUUUCCUUUAGUUAGCAUUUAUACAAUUUCUCUCUGUCAUAAAUGCAGCAGAAAAGAAGACAAAGAAAUAGCAAGAAGUCGUAAUUGCGUAGUGAAGAAGUUUCAAAGGCACUAAGAAUGAAUUUUUUUCUGAAGUGGUAUAUACUUUUGAGAAGUAUUGAAAUGAAUUUUACAUUGAUAUAUUGUAUUAAACUGUACUCAAUAUUUAUGAAAUCUAAGAAAAACCUGGUUAUAUUUAUGGAAUUUUGUUUUGUAAUUAUUAUUAGUAAUCAAAUAAAUAAACAAUUUUUUCUUUUAAAAAAUAAAAUUUACGUUGUGCAUUUUGUACGCCGUAAAAAAAAAUACGUUACCUCGUUAAAAAACUCACCUUGCGCACGCCGUAAAAGGUUUUAACGGCUUUCAUAGAUGACAUGCAUUGCACUCCGUAAAAAGUAAAUACUUUUUUACGGCAUUGCUUUAUACGGCAUGUAGGAGUGGAUACUUUUUUCCAGAACCGGUGGAACUGGACCGAAAUCGUUUAGAACCGAUCGGUUUGGUUCCGGAUCUUCUAAAAAAUAAUUUGAUUUCGGGACAAAUUUUUAAGAACCGAUUGGUUUCGGUCUGGUUCUCGAUUUUAGUAUGGGAACCGAGGGAACCAGACGGUUCUCAUUGGACUUUUUCUUUUUUUCUUUUUUUUUUUGGUAAAAUAUAUGACUCAAUUUUCAAACUUUUAUAAAAAAUAAUCGGGUUCCUUCUUAAUUUUAGACUCCAGCACUUUCCUUCUUCACUUUGAUUCUUUCCUUGUCUCUUCUUAUAGUUCUUUGAUUAAUUGAUUUUCAAGCCAAAUUAAAAUAUUGGGUAAAUCUAUACCUAAAUAAAUUUAUUUACAAAAUAUAAUUUCAUUUAUAAGAUGUGAAAUUUUUAUUUUGUUUUCACUUUGUAAAUCUAUACUUAAAUAAAUCUUUGACUAGUAUGUUCAGUUUUUCUAUAUUUUGUUAAAAGUAUCACAUUGGUAGUAUUUUUAGAGUUUUAGUAGUGAACAUUUUAUUUUGACAUUUUCAAUGUAAAGAACCGGACCGAACUGAAUCGGAACCGAUUGGUUCGGUUCCGAUUUGGUUCCACAGUUAACUAUGGAACCAAUGGUUCAUUUCUAAAAUUCUCAUUGGUAUUUGGUUCGGUUCGAUUUCCUUUGGAAUCGGACCAAAUCGGACCGUGCCCACACCUAACGGCAUGCGGCUGCACGCCGUAAAUUGGUUUUUACGGCAUGCAAUGCUUGCAUGCCGUAAAAAGUGCAUUUUGUUGUAUUGCGUGACCAAUCUAAUGACUUUUUCUUAAAUAUCUUUAGAGUCAAGAUGCCUUCUUUAAAUUUUAAACUUACGCUAUUUGUUCAGUGCCUCAAAAUUUUUAGUUUAGAUUUAAAACUCUAAAAGACAUUGUCAAUUUAUGGGGAGAAGUUUGCUGUUGAAAAUUUCAAAAUCAAACAUACCAGACCUGGUAGGAGAACUGCCAAUGCCCCAGAACCUCCCCUUCCCUAAUACCAUCUCACUCCAUGAUUUCAGAUUUCUGAGUUUCAUUGUGUGAAAGCAUUCUUUGUGUCAUCUUAUUAUUUUUGUCCAAUUUUCAGGGCUUAGGUCUAUGGCAAAUGUUGGGCAGGACACUAAUGGUUCACAAUUUUCAUCUGUGACGACCAGCUGGUAACUAUACAAUUUAUGAUCCUGCUGUUAUGAGAAAACUGUCAUCCAUUUUCAGAUCUUCUAUCUGGUGCUUCUAUUUAGCCAGAAAAUCUAACAAAAGUUAAAUGUUCAAUAGGUUGGAUGGUCGUCAUGUUGUAUUCGGAAAGGUGCUGUCCGAAAUAGAUGUGGUGUAUAAGAUAGAAGCCAAAUGCAACUAGAGUGGAACAACCAAAAGCAAAGUUGUGAUUGCAGACAGUGGUGAACUUCCCCUGUAAUCAGCUUGUACUUGAACUCGUCAGUUUUACCCUUCUACUCACUUCUACUUACUGCGGGUUAUGGAUCUUAAUUUACAUACCUGAAUUAUGUUAUUUAGGAAAAUGAAAUAGGUACCAGAAAAGCACACUUUUUAGUUUGGCACCUAAUAUUAUGAGUCCAUAAGGCAUGUAGAAUGUAUAUUAGGAAAGAAGAGAGGAAACAAAUGCGAUUUCUCUUACAUUAUUGACAGAGAUCAUUAGGGAUAUUGUUACCAACCUUCAGAAGGUUCGGUUUACAUUUUCUUGAUCUGUUCAGUGACCUUUCCUUUAGUUAGCAUUUAUACAAUUUCUCUCUCUCAUAAAUGCAGCAGGAAAGAAGACAAAGAAAUAGCAAGAAGUCGUAAUUGUGUAGUGAAGAAGUUUCAAAGACACCAAGAAUGUUUUUUUUUUCUGAAGUGGUAUAUACUUUUUGAGAAGUAUUGAAAUGAAUUUUACAUUGAUAUAUUGUAUUAAAUUGUACUCAAUAUUUAUGGAAUCUAAGAAAAACCUCGUUAUAUUUAUGGAAUUUUGUUUUGUAAUUACUAUUAGUAAUCAAAUAAAUAAACAAUUUUUUCUUUUAGAAAAUAAAAUUUACGGUGUGCAUUUUGUACGCCGUAAAAAAAAAUACGUUACCUUUUAUGGCGUGCAUGUGCACGCCGUUAAAAAACUCACCUUGCGCACGCCGUAAAAGGUUUUAACGGCGUUCACAGACGGCAUGCAUUGCACGCCGUAAAAAGUAAAUACUUUUUUACGGCAUUGCUUUAUACGAUAUCAGCAUGCGGCCGCACGCCGUAAUUUGGUUUUUACGGCAUGCAGUGCAUGCCGUAAAAAGUGCAUUUUGUUGUAGUCUAAAUUUGUUGCCCUAACUUGUCCUAUGCAUACAAAUAAAAUUUAUCGUUAUUCGACUCAAUCCUAAAGACAACAAUGAGCUAUGUACUUUAACUUGAAGUAUUCACGUUCAAAGGGUACAAACCUACUCUAUCCCUUAAUUCAAUCAAAUGAAACAAGCAAAGACUGGAACAAAAUGUUAGGCCUUGACCAUGUGAUCACAUGGUUAUUGGUCCAUGCUCUAGACGUAUUAGCACGCAACAACGUAGAAGAGUGCGUCAGAAGAUGUAGAACUCUUAAUAGAGAUUGAACCUAGCUAUUGAGGACCAUCCGUAUUUUUCAAUUAAUUUCGGGCCCAGCCACGUACAGCCGUAGAGGUCCCCAAUAUGUACCUGUCUUGUCCUGUCCAAAAUACUUUGCUGUGUAACCUUUAUCUAAUCGAAUUAACCUGUAUAUUCAAUACUUUUAUCUUUUCAAGAAUAAAGUUGGUUUGCCCUAAAAUUUUGACAUGCCAACUGACUGACCUUCACAUCGUGCAUGGAUCCUGCGUAAAUUUAAAAAAAAAAAAGUGCUGACCCCCAUGUGUAUGUGUUCGGUUAUCUCCUAUAUUCGUGUAGCAAAAAUCAUCUUUUCAAUUUUUUGGAGUCCUGAAAUGUGGCCGUUUCAAUAGACCGAUCAGGUCAAAUCUUGGGCCAACGAAGUUUUUUUGACAUAUGUGAUAUAAAUAUAGACUAGUUAUUCUAGUUAGAAAAUCUGUAGCUGGUGAAGGCAGACUCAAAUUGGUAAUCGUACAUAACAUAGCUGCACAACAAAACGUUGGCUUCGUUUUCGAGCAUCUUAAAAAUCUGUGGAGGACUAAAGAAUGUAACGUGUCAUUCCCUUCUAAGAGCAAAAUUUUUGAAAUGGCCCAAAAUUAUUUAUUAAUGGCUAGAUUUUUCGAGCAAUAGAUAAUCUUGGUAAAUAUUGCCGUCUAAAUGUCCUUAUUGGAGUAAUGGAGAGUCGAUCACUAUACAUGCAGCCACUCAAGUGGACGAUGUGAUUAUUAUUACUAUGCAUUUAACAUUUAGAUUAUUAUAUAUAGACACCAUAUUUUAAUUCUUAAUGAAGGUUCUAACAUUUUCUUUGUCUCCAACUUUUUUCGUGCUAUGCUUAUUCUUAAUUUUUAAUUAUGACAACUUUUAUCCAGAUAUUUUGUUUGCAAUCUUUGACAUGAUGUACAAAUAUUUUAUUGGACUUUUAUAUUUAUUUUUUUAUUUAUUAAAAAAUAUAACAACAAAUAAUUCCUUUUAAUCUAGCAUUAGUGGUGCUACAAUAUAUAGGUCGCAUUAUAUGUUGGUUUGAUUACAGAUAAAAUUAUGUUAUACAUUUAACUAUGCAAUUCUCUUAGGAUACGUUUGAUUGUGAGUAUGAAAUUUGUAUAAAAAGAAAAUAAAUUGUAGGUAAUUUAAUUGCCUAAAACUUAUUUGCAUGAAAAUUAUUAAUUAAAUAUGUUUAAUUAAUUUAAUUUUUAAUCUAAAAAAUAUUAUACUUGUUCGAUUUUUAUUGAUGGGUGGAUGAGAGAGAGUAGAUAGACGAGAGAAAGAGAGAGUGAAUUCCUCGAAAGAUAAAAUCCUAUCUUUCCUAAAGAAAAUAUUUUCCUUGAUUUUGAAGAAAAUAUAGUUACACGACCAAAAAAAGGAAAAUAUUUUUCAUGGAAAAAAUGUUAAUCAAACAGCACAAAAAUAAAAAUUUGAGUGAAAAAACACAUUUUCUAUGAAUAAUAUUGUCAAUCAAACGCACCCUAAAUUAAAAUUUAAUAUUCACGAUGAAUGAUAAUGUUGGGUUUAUCAUAUGAAUAGAGUAUGUGACUUUUUAAUGAAAGAGUAACUAAGUUGUGACUUUUAUCGGUUAACAUUUUCAAAGUUAUAUUUUUUUUUCCAAAAAAAAAGAUCAAAAAAUAUUUUUUAGGCUUACAAUUGAAAAUUCCCCAAGGUAAUGGGUUUUAGGUGUUUUAGUGCCCAUAUUUGAAAGCCCGUUUUAGCCUGUCAAGUUUUCGCUAGGUAGAUCCAGUCCAUGAUAACUGAUAAAUGAGAAAAUUACAUUCAUACCUGUUUUUCAAUUUUUCAUUCUAAUAAUCAGAAGAUAAAAAUUAUUCUUUCAAAAAUUAGGUGUAUCCCAACCCACCUCACCUCAAGCUUAAAACAUUUUUAAUCCAAAAAUGGUCAUGAUCGCUUCCAAAAUACACCCCAAAAUUUCACACCUCAUUCCACACCCAUGAACGUCAGUUCGACACCACCACCCAUGGGCAGAUUUAAUAGUGGGCUGUGCUUGAUUGUAGUCCACUACUGUCCAAGCCCAGAUGCAUUACAAAAUGAUAAAAGUGGAAAUUAUACAAUUCCAAUUGUUUCAAUUUCACAUUACAAAAAUCAGGUGAGAUGUAUUUUUAAUCAAAAUUCAGGUAUUAUAUAUUUAAAUAUAAUAGUCACCCCACACCCAAACGGCCAAACCCUAGCUAUAAUUUUUCUCUCUCCCUUCUCUCUACAUCUCUCGUUCUCUCUUCUCUCUCGUGCAUGCGGGCGACCCAAGCUCCGGUAACGACAACUAAUGAGAUGUGCCGUCGACAACGAGCUAUUGCAAACGGCGAUUCUUACGACGACGUCGAGCUGAUUCCAAAGUUCUGCCCCCAGGAAGAAAAUCUUCGACGCAGCUGUUUUACUGUUGGACUUGAACGACAUUCGAUUGUUCUCUGGCUCGCUCAAGUGGAAGCGCGGCAGCUGCUCCUUGCGGCGAAGACACUAUCCGGUGUAGGGAACAUCGUCUGCAGCCGCACGCAAGAGCGAGGAUACCAGCUCGUCGAAGCAUUGUACAGUGCAGAUAGUAAAUGAAGGUGAACAGAUCUGUGAGAUUGUCCUAGUUCUUCCCUCCGAUAUACUUGGUUCUCUCCUCCGAUGUGGGAUUUCAGUGAUUGAUCUGGUCUCUCGGUGUUGGGACUAGGUUGAACCAGUAUUAAAGUACGUAGACGGGUUGCGUUCUGUUAUUGCAAGUUGCCAAUACUGAAGGGAAGCUUAUUGUGAUUGGAGGAUGGAACCAAUCAAUUUGGGACCCGAUUUGACCUGUGUUGAUGAUGGCAGCAGCUUGUUUGGUGGGUGUCAUGUAAAUAGAGAUAGAGGAGAUGGUGGUGGUGAUGUGCUAUGAGUGGUGCGGUGUGCUGUGGGUUUGCUAGUGUGGUGGUAGUACAAGUAUAGUGGUGCUCAUGAUGGGUGGUGGCAGGAGACGGCAAUGCUCAUUUUGGUGAGGUGAUGGUGGCUCCGGAGGUGGUGAUAACGAAUUAUUGUUGAGUUGUUGAUGAUGUUGGUGGUGGUUGUGGUAGCGGUGAUGGGUGGGUUAUUUGUGACCAACAUUUAGGCGUUCGUGACCAUUUGGUUAAUUUGUGAUCAACAAACUGUGACUACAUGACUUAUAAUUUGAAUGAUCUAUGAUCUCAAAAUAAUUUUCGAAGUAACAGAUAUGAGGUUCCAAGUCCCACUAAUUGAUGCAAUUGGAUAUGUUGACCUGGUCAACUGGGUGGGAUUGGAAAAUAACGUCACCUAACUAGCCGCUAUAUAGAGGUCACAUGUUAAUUUUAUUGGAGGAUUCUUAAAAGUAUAUUGAGCUAGUUGAUCUUGUUAUUUCAAAGUUGGGGAAUGGAUUAUGCAGAAGUUGCAAUUACAAUGUCAUGUCAUUGUGUGAAACGUCAAGAUCCUCCUUUCCUUACUAAUUACUGGGCAAUCAGGCGAGGCCCCAGUAAAGAGAGUUGGCCAUACCAACAUGGUAAUUUCUUGAUUCUGACUUAUAGUUAUGAAUAUUCAAUGUAUUGUUCUGUGAUUGAAAAUGUUAUACCAUUAUGAUCAGGUUUGACUUAUUAUGUGGGUUAAUUUUGAUGACAUCCUACAAUACCGUUGACUGUGACCUACUUUAAUUUCAUUCAAAAGCUAAGACAUUGUCAAUUUAUGGGGAGAAGUUUGCUGUUGAAAAUUUCAAAAUCAAACAUACCAGACCUGGUAGGAGAACUGCCUAUGCCCCAGAACCUCCCCUUCCCUAAUACCAUCUCACUCCAUGAUUUCA